This is a long non-coding RNA of Ceratitis capitata (Mediterranean fruit fly), 2766 nucleotides long. RefSeq lists it as uncharacterized. The transcript is spliced from 3 exons. Lineage: Eukaryota; Metazoa; Arthropoda; Insecta; Diptera; Tephritidae. The record is from RefSeq and is a predicted model, not a curated record.
UUUUCCAAGAAUCCAAUCAGAUAUAAAUAUAACAUCAUGCACAUAAAACAGCUGCGAGCAUGCUUCAAACGUAUUUAUGAUUAGGUCAUUCAAGAGAAGAAGAAGAAGAGAGCGAACAGCGUUAGGCAAAUAAGAAAAGCAAGCCGAGUGCUAAGCUCCAAAUUAUAGCUUACAUAUAAAUUAGCUGAAAGCUUCGUCCUAAAGGGCGGCACGUGCAAUGGCGUUAGGCUAAGAAGGCGCGGCCGAAUCCUUUGCUAGUUGAGGCAUAGCUCACAAUUUAACGAUGAAUCUGGCAUUGCGGCGUCAAGAGAAAGGCGAACAUCAACGUGACUGUCGUCCUGCCAAUGAAUGUACAACAGCAGCGAGGUUAUCAAAAGGCAACCGGCUGGUGCCCUAAGAAAACCUUCGGAAGGGGCAGUGAUGUUGGGAGCUUUCAUGUAAAUAGAGGAGAUUUAUACAUAAUUAUUAUUAGACCAAUAAAUAUAGCAAACAAAUAGACAACAGCGGCAGCAACAAAAGCGGCAAAAGCAACAACCAAAUGGCGAGUAACAAAUUGCAGUUGAAUACAAAACUUGGCCUAUUAAGUUUCGUAAUUUAUCCCUAUUUCAGCAAAUAAGAGAAGAACGAGUGAAGCAGGAAAGCAGUGCAGGAUAUGAGAGGAAAAUAUUCAAGAAUGGUGCGUCCACAAAGCUCUUCAUUUGUUUCAUGUUUAAAUGAGAAAGGAACGAAAGUUGAGUUGAGCUUGGAGUCUCAUCUUAGGGCUUUUGUUGCAUGCAUUUGUGUGUACAUUCAGGUUCGAAGAAGCUGAAAGUUUUCUCAAAAACUUACUAACUUAACUUUUUUAAUGUCACAAAAUAUUUAAUACCAAGCCGGUGACGCUACCCAGCAAACACAAAACCGCAUACUUUGCAAUGACCAUUGAGAUGCCCAGACUUCUCGUGAGUUGGUCUUCAAAACUGGUUAGCAUUUCAGUCACUCUUAUUCCGUGAGCAUAUUGCUCAGAAUAUUUGAUAAAUUGUUUGGCUUAUUUCAUAGUCUACAAAUAUCAUUGCUUUAAAUCAUUAAAUCAUUGACUUAACAAAUUGAACUUGAAAUCUUUAUGACGUAUUUUGGCGAGAAAUCGUUUGUGCACCAGACUUUGCCUUGGUGAAUCGCGACAUAUUAUUGAUGUUAAAUUCGUCUCGAAAUGGUUUGCUGGAGGAACCUGUCGUGCACUCGAAGGGCUUUAGAAAUACGGCUGUUCCGCUGACCGCACACGUACAUACACAUAUUGAUCUUUAUACUAGUAGAUAUGUACCUAAAAAGAGGCAGUCAACUGUAACUAUUCCAAACUGUUUGCCGUUGCAAGCGAGAUUUGUCCUAAACACCAGAUUAAAUGGCAUACAAAUAUUCAUACAUACUCGUAUGUACACACACACAUAUUUAUUCUUUACCAUUUUCUCUUUUCGGUAUUUCAAUGCGUUUGCUACAACAACAAUCGGCAUAUAAAAAUUACUACGAAUAAUUUUUCAUCGAGGCGCGAGCUACCAAUUUCAGCCACCACCCCAUCGGAAUCUACCUUUGUGUACACACAAAUAUAUGCGCAUACAUCUGCUCUAUAUCACACCUUCCAUCAUUCACUUCGUUGGGUUUUGUCGCCAAGCGCAAGCCCCAAGCCACGGACCACCUGCCGGCGCCUCAUUUCAACUAAUUACGGUGUUUAUGCUGUCGUUGUGGUCGUGCGCACAUCAACCGCAUUUUCAUGACACAUAAAACAGUGUCGAAAACAACAACAGCAACAACAAACAUAGCCAUAACAAUAACAUAACGGCAUAACAACAAUCAGCAACCAGGCAAAGUAACUGCGAAUGUCAAACGAGAACAAUUCAAGACGCGCCACAUGGCGGCAACCCUUUCACAACUGCUUAUAAUGUUGCAUACUUUUGGGUGACUGCUCUUCGAGUUCAGGCACGCCCCCUGCGGCUCCAGCUGCGGAAUUCAGCUGUUUGAACAUAAACGGAACUUGCCACUUGCCACAUUCCGCACGCACUCGCCGACCCUCAGCCGCUGUUUGUGUGUAAAACACUAUCCAAGACGUUUGCCAUCGGUGAAGAAGAAAGAUAAGGACUGAGUCCACAUCACACUCAUGCAACAUCCUUGGCAACGCAACGUGGCGGGCAGGUGUUCAUACUUUAAAGGGAAACUUUUUCAGAAGCGUUUGCGUAAAAGUUAUUUGGAUAAUGGCUUGGCACUUUGGGAAAACAGUGAGCCUGCGAGUAACUGGCAAACAGGGCCUCAGAAAGCGGAUAAGCAACUGAAAUGUGUUGCAGAGUCUGUUGUGCGGCGCGUAAGACCAACAAUGCAAAGAAGUUGCGGGGAGAAGACCCAAAAGUUGUGCGUAGAUUUCCAAAGAAUUAUGACCGGACGAAGUUGCGCCAAAUAGCAGGCAAACAACAGCAAUAAAACAAUAAACGUUUUCGGGCGAAGAGUAGUGAAAGUAAAAUUAAAAGUAAGCAUUUUCAAAGAACAAAAAAGCUCAGACGCCAAGCUCACUCUAGCUGGUUGCGGGGUUGUGGGACAGGAGAGACACAUUGAAAAAUGCGAAUAAUCAGAUUUAAGACAAAGUAUUUAAAGGUCCAUAAAUACAAUUACGAACUUAUGAAUAGCGAAAAUGUUGUUUAAUACAAUAAAUUUUGAGUUUUCUAAACUCACUGCGAAUAACAUGAGCCCCACAAAAUGCACAGGCCCAACAUUGUACUGAGCAGAAGUCGAUCCAGCUUUGGUCAA